UACGAGAGGCCCAAACGUUAUUCGGAAUUACUGGGCUUAAAGAGCUCGUAGGUGGUUUGUCGCGUUGUUCGUGAAAUCUCACGGCUUAACUGUGAGCGUGCGGGCGAUACGGGCAGACUAGAGUACUGCAGGGGAGACUGGAAUUCCUGGUGUAGCGGUGGAAUGCGCAGAUAUCAGGAGGAACACCGGUGGCGAAGGCGGGUCUCUGGGCAGUAACUGACGCUGAGGAGCGAAAGCGUGGGGAGCGAACAGG
Molecule: ribosomal RNA, 253 nt
Filed under: uncultured bacterium
Lineage: Bacteria
Description: partial 16S ribosomal RNA
Rfam family: Bacterial small subunit ribosomal RNA
Source: RNAcentral